UACGGAGGGAGCUAGCGUUGUUCGGAAUUACUGGGCGUAAAGCGCACGUAGGCGGCUAUUCAAGUCGGGGGUGAAAGCCCGGGGCUCAACCCCGGAACUGCCCUCGAAACUAGAUAGCUAGAGUCUUGGAGAGGCGAGUGGAAUUCCGAGUGUAGAGGUGAAAUUCGUAGAUAUUCGGAAGAACACCAGUGGCGAAGGCGACUCGCUGGACAAGUAUUGACGCUGAGGUGCGAAAGCGUGGGGAGCAAACAGG
This 253-nucleotide ribosomal RNA is filed under the name uncultured bacterium. RNAcentral's name for it is "partial 16S ribosomal RNA". It matches the Rfam family "Bacterial small subunit ribosomal RNA", at positions 524 to 776 of the family's 1533-position model. The record is from RNAcentral.